RNAcentral lists this ribosomal RNA (342 nucleotides) under uncultured bacterium. RNAcentral's name for it is "bacterial SSU rRNA". It matches the Rfam family "Bacterial small subunit ribosomal RNA", at positions 30 to 369 of the family's 1533-position model. The record is from RNAcentral.
AUUGAACGCUGGCGGCGUGCUUAACACAUGCAAGUCGAUCGGUAACGGGUGUAGCAAUACAUGCUGACGAGAGGCGGACGGGUGAGUAAUGCUUGGGAAUCUGCCUAUUAGUGGGGGACGAACCCGGGGAAACGUCGGGCUAAUACCGCAUACGCUCUACGGAGGAAAGCCGGGGACCGCAAGGCCUGGCGCUAAUAGAUGAGCCCAAGUCGGAUUAGCUAGUUGGUAGGGUAACGGCCACCAAGGCGACAAUCCGUAGCUGGUCUGAGAGGACGACCAGCCACACCGGAACUGAGACACGGUCCGGACUCCUACGGGAGGCAGCAGUGGGGAAUAUUGGAC